CAUAAGAAUCCAUUAUAAAGCAAUUCAAGGCUAUAAACUACACACAAAAAUUACAAGAUAAGCUAUAAGAUAACGAUAUUCUUAUAUCUAUUACCAAUUACAAACAUAUCAAUAAUGUAUCAACUUUUUUGGCAGUAGUCACUAUAUAUGUGACAUAUUCAUCCUCAUACUUAGCUCACUAUACUAUAUCAUAAUGAAAGAAAGUAAAUUAUACAUUAAUAUCAUCAUAGUUUUAAAUUGUAGUCUGCAAUAUGUUUAUAAUCAAGGAGAAGAUUUUGUUGAGGAAGUAGGGGGUGAGCCAGGGCUAUGAGGAGGUGGGAAUAGUGGAGGAAAAGGAAAUGGUAAAAUUGAUUUUGGUGGUGGCGGCGGCGGUGGUGAUGGAGUGAUACCUGGUACUACUAUUGGUGGAAAGAGAGAGAAAGGUGGUGGACUUGAUGGUGGAGGCUGAAAUGGAUUUGGAAGGAGUGGUGGAGGACUUGAAGGAGGAGGUUGAAAUGGAUUAGGUAGAAAUGGUGGUGGACUUGGUGGUUGAAAUGGAUUUGGAAUCAAAGGUGGACUAGGUGGUUGAAAAGGAUUAGGAAUCAAUGGUGGUGGUGUAAAAGGGUUAGGAAUCAAAGGUGGUUGAAAUGGAUUAGGAACCAAAGGUGGAUUCAAAGGGUUUGGAGGAAAAAAGAAAAAAUCUUCAACUUCAUUUUUCUUAGGGUUUUGAGUACUAUGCUUAUUUUGGUCACAAAAUUUUGGCUUUUUUAUUGGCUUGAAUGAGAAAAAUCCAGCUGAAAAAAUGUGUUCAUCUUGCAACUUUUUCUUUAGGGUUAGUGAAAAUGAAGUGGAAGUUGAAGCAAUAGCACAAUUUGGUUCAUUGCUACUUAACAACUUGAAGUUACACCCUUUGAUUCUCUUCACAUUUUUUCUCACUAAGAAAGGUAGCUUUACUUUGAAUUCUCCUUGUUCAUUAGUCUUCACUUCUUUGUAGAAUCUUUGUUUUGUUUUUCCUAGUUUGCAUUCAACAGCUAUUGAUGCACCUAUACAUUUUGGACAAGGUUUUAGAAAUUUUUAUAACAUGAUAUAAAAUAUAGAUCAGAUACAUUAACUAUUACUUAUAAUAGUGAUUGAUUGGAGGGUGAAUUACCUGAAAUGAAGCGGCUUUCUUGAGAGAAAGUUUGUUGAAAACAUGUGUCACAAAAGACAGUGCCAACUACAGAAGGCGAAGGAUGAAGCUUCUUGUUGACAUGUUUUGCUUCUGAAAGAUUUGUACCAAAUGUGAGAGUGAGAAACAAAAUUGUAAGAAACCAAGACAUUUUGAUAAGGUUUGAGUUUGGAUGCAAAUGAAAAAUUGUAAUGUGUUUCUAAAUAAAUAAUGCUUAGCAUUGAAAAUAGAAUAAGAAUAGAAAAAACAAGCAUACCUACUAGAUAAGUUUAUGAACUAGAGUUUGUUUUACUAGGAAAAAUCCAAAAAGUUUCACUAGGUAUAUUUUGGAAGUUUGUUCUUAGUUGAUGUGAAUGAAUGGACUAUAAUUGAAUCACUGUUGAGUCACGAGACACACUGAAGAACCACAUACUCUAUGAGUACAAGACACUUAUCAACUAUGUUAGAAUGACAUGUGAAAUAUAUUGUAUAGUUAUGCAUGUGAAUAAAUAUUAGUACUAUUAAUGCAUAAAACUAUCAUAGUUUUUGGAAGUUUGUGUUUGGUUUGGGAGUAUGGGUUGAUAUUGUUGAAAAAUUAGUGGGAAGAAGAUAAUAAUGUUGUUGGAAGUGAUUUAUGAUUUCAUAAGUCAUACUAAAUACAAAAUAUUUUGAGAUUGUUCACUAUGGACAAAUAUGUGAUCAAGUUGUUUGGUGAGAUUAGGAGUGUCUUGGAUAAACUGAUAAAUUAACGCCCUUACAAUAACUUGAAAAUUUUCUCCUUGCAUUUUUUGUUAAAAAUUAUAAUGACACUUUCAUAAUCAAGGAUUUUUAAAUAAAAAUAAUAAGCAUUUGGAAUGAGAAAAAAAAAACAUAAAUAGAAAAAAAAAACACAUUGUUUUGAAUUAUAUAACUUUGAUUGAUAAUUUUUUUGAGAUAAUUCUUACAUAUGUGUACUCAAUAAUAGUCAUUAGUUUAAUUUUAUUGAUUAUCUAUAACGAUAAUCCUUCGUUAUAGGAAUUUCAGUUAUUUCGUUAGUGUAUAUAAAGAGUGUUAAUUCUCUUUGAAUCGAUACGAAACAAUUUUUUUUCUUUAUUAUGUGUCAAGCUAUAUGCACAUUAAUAUGGUAUCACAGAUAGAAAUAUUUUUUGUUACUCUCUCUUUCCCCGUCACUUGGCUUUUUUUCUCUCUUCUUUGCCUCCAUAUGAUCUCUGUGCCUUAUCCUUCCUUCUUUAGAAUAUCUUUUCUCCAAUUGGCUUCUCAAGAUUCUCCUCGAAAUCCAUCCUCAUUACCUCUCUUUUGUUCAACAUUUCUUCCACGUGUCGGUCUCUUUUUGGUCAUUUGGGAUUUUGUUCUUAUUCUCACAUGUUUACUCUAGAUAACAUUUUCACUUACCCUCAAUUUUUUGCUUUUCUUUCUCUCUCUUCAUCUGAAAUUCCCAUCGUUCUCUCGGCUUCUUCAUACCAAGAACUUCCUUCCCUAGAAAUUCACAUAACCACCCUUUUCCCCACUAAAAUCAACCUUUUUUUCAUAAAUAAUCAAUUAUCUCUGUUUUCUUUCUGAUUCUUAGCAUCGUAUCAACCAAUUUCACCGUUUCCCCUCAUUUUCUUCUCCCCAUCAAAACCAUAACCAUCUUUUUCUUUUCUAUUUUCACCCCCUCUUUCUUUUCAUCAAACAUGACAGAUUAGACUUACCUUCAUUUUGCAACGAAUUUGUCAAACCCUUAUUACAUCCAUCCCAAUGAAAACCCAACCCUCAUCCUUGUUUCUCCGCUGCUCAAUAGCAAAAACUACCUAUCUUGAGCUCGUUCCAUGAAGGUCAUUCCCUUUGGCUAUAAAUAGAAGGCUUCUGAGCUCAUUUGAAGAACACUUUAUGUGCCAGCUUUGCCCCCCAUUGAAACCCUCUCAUUCUAAAGGAAAACCUGAGAAAUUUCAAUUUGAAAUUUGAGUUUGAAUCUCAACUGUUGGAGAUUCAAGAACUCCAGGAUCCAAAGUCUUGCAACCUCUCUAAUCACUUCCUGCUAGCUUCUCAAGUAUGAUCAAAUCGUGUUUGGAGCAAGCAACAUCAAGAACUGCAUAGCAUUGAAGGUAAUUUUCAGAAAACUUCAUCUCUUCGAUUCUCACUUAAUUCUACUCAAUUCUUUUGGAUCUUUGGUUGUCUGAAGUCCUACCAAUGUAGGCAAGAAAAUUGAGUUGCUUAGAGGUCAAAUCGAAGCAACUCAGUUGACACACCUCAAAAUUCAACUCCUCAUAUCUUUUUAUAUAUUUGGAGUUAGUUGAAAUUGAGGUCAGAUUCGUGCUUUACGCCAUUUUUUGUCAAAUCGAAGCAACUCAGUUGACACACCUCAAAAUUCAACUCCUCAUAUCUUUUUAUAUAUUUGGAGUUAGUUGAAAUUGAGGUCAGAUUCGUGCUUUACGCCAUUUUUUCUUUCAGAUCAUGUCUUCCUUUUGUAUUUUGGUGAUGGUUAAAGGUGGAUCAGUCCGGUGAGGUCCACCGGAGAAGGAGACCGGAGUUCGGGCUCCGGCAAUGUGUUGGCAUCUCUCCCAGCCAUAGGAUCCAGUUGAUAUGUUUUAAUCCCAGCCAUAGGAUCCUUUUCAAAUAUUUUAAUCUCACCCGUUGGUUUUGAUUACCAUCCCUGCAGCGCAUUGACUAGUGUCCAUUAUGGAACGCGCGCUGAGGACCACUUGAUCUGCCACCUCAAUUAAUGAGGGAGAUCAAGUGGUCCACGUUUUUUUGCUAUUUUCUGAUUUUCAUUUUAAUCCUUUUAUUUUCAUUAAUUCAUAUUAAUUUUAAUAUUGAUCCAAAAAAUAUGAGAGUUUCACCAAAUAAUUUUAAAUAAUUUCCUCUUUAAUAUUUUGAAUUAAAAUUAUUUUUUGGAUCAUUAUUAAUAUUUUUUAUGAUUUAAUUGAUUUUGUAAUUAUUUUUAAUUGUUUAAAAUUACUUUUAAGUCUUUAAAAAUUCAGAAAUUUUUUCUCCGAGGUCCUUUGAUCUUGUUUGACCUAUGAUAAAUCUCAUGGCUAUUUCUUUGGUGUUUUGAUGAGGUUUUAGGAAUUUGACAAACUAUAUUUAAUUUAAAUGCCUUAUUUUAGUAUUUUUAAUUUGAAUAAAUGCCAAAUAAUUGUGUUGACCAAUUGUGAUGACUUGUUUGAGUUUGAAUCUUGUUGUUGGGCCUUGGUCAAGGUUGAUUUGACUUUGUCAAGUUAAUAUCAUCGGAUUUAGGGGAUUGAUGGAAUGUACAUUCCAUCUCCCAAAAUGAAUGGAUGAUAUUAAUUUGGUAAAAGUCCUCCUUUGACCAAUUUGAGUUUUGAUCCAUUCCCCUCCCUCUUCAUCUCAUUCCCUAUUCCAUCUCCCAAAAUGAAUGGAUGAUAUUAAUUUGGUAAAAGUCCUCCUUUGACCAAUUUGAGUUUUGAUCCAUUCCCCUCCCUCUUCAUCUCAUUCCCCUUCUUUAUGCAUUCAUCUCAUUUGACCUAUGAUAUCUCAAAGUUUUAAGGCUAGUUGAUUGAAAAAUCAACAUAAGUAUGGAUGAGAUGAGGUCACCUCUUUUGCAUAUUCUUUUUUAUGUGUGGUAUGUUUCAUAAGCAUAGUCCAUUAUACUAUGUACCUAACAUGCAUUAACACCAAAAUUCUAUUGCCCCGCCUCAAAUAGUUGUGACUUCUACAUAAGUCCAAUUACGAUUACUUAACAUAGCGUUAAAUUUGUGACACAAAAGGCAUAGCAUUCUAGUUAGUGAGAUUGCAAGUCUCCCCUCUUUCAUGGUAUUGUGUGGAAACUUGGCAUUUUUUCCUUCCUUUGGAAGAUGUCUUGACUCAAGGAUCCAUGCUUAUGAUAAGUGGGUUGAGUGUUCUCCAAAGAAUGACUUAAAAUGAAAAGCAAAAGCAAAACAAUACUAACUUCUAACUCAUUAAAAACUAACUUUUAAUUUCAAGCCAUUUAGUUGAAUGUCAUUUAAUUUUAGUCUUUAUUCAUUUGUCAUUAUUCAUACCAUUCUAAUUGUUUAUGUUAAUGCAAUUUUCAGAAACAGGUAAACCUGGUAUAACACACUAUAUAGAACAAACACAUAACUUUGCUUGUUUGUGUGGUCUUUGACCAUUAAUGUACAUAAUAACAACAAAAACCCUAAAAAAACUUUUGUGUGGAUCGUUGGCUUGAUCUUGGACAAUUGGACUUAGAAUCUAGGCAACAUUCCUAUGCUAGAGUACUUGGCCAAUGCCAAUUUUUUAUGUAAACAAGUUCUUGCAAUUUGGAACUUCAUCUGAUACAUCAUUCAAGAUCCCUUUGAGUUCAUCUGCAACAUGAUCAUUGUGAAGCUGUUAUUUUGAACAUGUGACUUGUGAAAUUCAUCUGUUGCAUGGGCUAAUUUGAAGAAGAUCAUGGAGUGGAUAAGCUUGGAUGUGGCUAUCUUUAUUUGAUGCCCUUUCUCUUCAAGAUUGAUAUAAUUGUGCAUUUGUGUGUUACUUAAUUCAAAAUGUCCAAGGGAAUCUGGGUUUCUAUUUACAUUCUUGUCUAUUGGAUUGCUACCCAUUGGUUAGAUCUUUUCAACUCUUAACUUUUAAUGUUGUGCAUAGGAUUAGUCUCUUCAUCUUCUCCCCAUUUCUUAAAUUUCAAAAUCUCUCCCUCCCUUUUUAAAAAUCUUCUUUAUUUGAACUUGUUUUGUUCUAAACUUUGACCACUUUGUAAAAAAUAUAAACUUUGGCCUUAUGCCAUUUCAUUUUCAAACUUCUUUUCUUAAAUCAAAUUUGUAAAUAAACUUAACUAUACUUGACUUAAACUUUCAGAAAAUCCAAAAAGAACUAACCCAUUAAAACCAUUUUUAGGCCUUUGUGCCUUUCAAACUUAAUUUUUGUUAAAAGCAAUGCAUUCACUUUGAAAUUUGUAUCACGAACUACGAGGUUUUGAUCCCUCAUUUUUAUGUUGGUACGUAGGACAGCAAGUCCGAAGGUCUUGUCAAUACAAAAAUAUAAUUAAUGAAUUAUUUUCUCAUCCCCCCCCCCCGCCCCCCCUCAUUCUAUUUGUUUGUAAACAUCAUUUUUGUACCAAAUACAUAUGCACACAAAAAGGGCUCCCUGGGAGUACCUAGGACACUUUGGGUGGUAACACCUUCCCUCUGUGUAACCAACCCCCUUACCUAUAAUCUCUGGCAUUUUAUUAGUUUUAAUUUGAACUUCUUACUUCUGGGUUUUGUUCGUACUUUUCCCUUUUCCCUUGGAAACAAUAAAAGCGCGGUGGCGAAUCUUGUUAUUUGAUGUCUAGCUUAUCCAUAGCUUGAUGAUCAUGAAUUUACCGUUACACCUAUCAUCCAUAGGCAGACAGUUAGAGGGACAAUUAGAGGGAAAAGACUCUAUAAUCCUUGGAAGAUUUGUUAAGAGUAUGUGUUUUAGAAUAAGGAGGUAGUUGGGAUAGUUAUUUAUCAUUGAUUGAGUUUACCUAUAAUAAAAGUUUCCAUUAUAGGAUUGGAAUGUCGCAUUUUGAAGCAUUAUAUGGUAGGAGGUGGUGGACACCCUUGUGAUGGUAUGAAUUCGGUGAGAGCAUUGUGUUAGGACCCAAAGUAGUUCAACACACUAUCGAGAAGGUUAAGAUGAUUUAGGAAAAGAUGAGGAUGUGGCAAAGCCAAUAGAAAAUUUAUCAUAUUAAGCAAAGAAAAUCCUUUGAAUUUCAAGAAGGAGAUCAUGUAUUCUUGAGAGUCACUUCAAUGACUGGGGUUAGUCGGGAAUUCAAGUCAUGAAAGCUUAAUCCUUGUUUUAUGGGUCCUUAUCAGAUUCUUAAAAGAGUCAGCGAAGUUGCCUACCAAGUUGCAUUCCUCUGUCUCUUUCGAAUUUCCAUAAUGUCUUUCAUAUCCCGUCGCAUCUGAUCCAAUCUGAUGAUAUGCAAAUAAGAGAGAGCUUAACUUAUGAAAUGUCGCCCUUGCGAAUUGAAGGUUGAAAGGUAAAACACUUGAGAGGAAAAGAGAUUCCUUUGGUUAAGCCGUAUGGGGAGGAACAAAUGAUGGUAGUGUGAUGUGGGAACUAGAGAGCCAAAUGAAUGAGUCUUAUAUAAACUUGUCUGCUUCAGGUAAAUUUUCCAGUAUGAAAAUUAAAUAUGUGGGGGAGAGUUGUAACACCCUAAAAUUUUAUUCGAAUUUUAUUUUAUUAACAAAUCGAUUUUGUGUGUGUUAUGAUUUUUUUAUUAGCAUUAUUAUUUUGUUAUUAUCAAAGAAAAGAAUUAUGGGAAUUAUCUAGAAAGACUAAAAAUAAAUAGAGUCAGUGGAAGAGGGGUUGGAAAAGUAAAAAUUAGUGGGAGAAGUCAAAGAAAUAAAAUCAUAAUUUUUAAGGAGUUUAAUUUCAGAAUUUUAAUUAUAAAUUAAAAAGGGAGAAUUAGGGAGAAAAACAUAGUACGCGUUCUUUUGGAAGAAAAAGGAGAAAAAUCCCUAGCACAAAAAAGUUCUCUUCUUCUUCUCUAGCACUCCAAAAGAGAGUCUAAUUUCUGAAUAGGAAAAAAAUAAAUAUUAUGCAAGUGAGUAAUUAUAUUAUUGUUAGGAGCUUCGCAAUGAAUUAUGGACUAACAAAGUAAUGGGGAGAUUGUUCUAUGAAUUGGUAUUUUGGCAUUUAUGGUAGUGGGGUUUCCAUUGAACCCCAAAUUGUAUGAGUUUCUAUGUGAAUUUUCCCUAUGAGAUGAUUAUCCAUAAACUUUAUGUUAUGAAUCUCUUUCAUCAUCAUCUAAUCUUCUAGGAUCAUUGCAUGACAGAAUUUUGGGUUGAGUCUUGCAUGAUUGAUUCUAUGAAUUUUCAUUAUUGCCAUGAAUGUGUGUGAAUUUCUGCUUGCUUAUGAUGUUUGAAGUGUUGCUAAUCUUUAACAUAUGGUAUUACAUGAUUAGUAUGUGUUUACCAUGUGUUUGAAGUGAGAAAAACAGGAGAAAUAAGUGAAAAUCAGAAUUCUGGGUGAUUUAAUUCGAAUUAGGGGGCUAUCGUUCAAGUAAUAUGCUAAGAUCAGCGCAGGAUUUCAAUUAUAAUUGGUUUGAUUUGAGUCCAGAGACCUAUGAUUCGAAUCAUAGGGUAAGACUAUGCGAAAAAUUUAGUUAUGUUUGUCAUGAUUCGAAUCAUGAGUUAUGUGACUCGAAUCAUGAAGGCAAAUUAUAUAUAGAAUCAUGUUUUAGUUAUAUCUUGAGUUUAGAAAUUCAGAUUGAGGUGCGGUUAGAUGCGUUAGAAAGCUAAUGCAAAGAACUAUAUUUAUGGAAAAGGAUUCAUGAUGUUUAUAUGUAUGAAUCAUCCUGUGAAUAAUGAAUAUUUAUGCAAAGUCAUGUAUGUUUUAGGACACAAGUCCAAUAUUUUUAUGAAAUGUUUUUAUGAACUAAGUUGUGAGUGAUGGAUUAAUUAUGAGAAUAUACUUAGAACAUGAGAUCAACAUUUGUAAAAUUAAUUGUGAAGCCCUAAUAUAAAGAUUAUGUUGAAGGUUCGACAAGAAUCAAUGUUGAUUAUGUUGAAGGUUCGAUAAGAACCAAUGUUUGAUUAUAUUGAAGGACCGAUAAAAACCAAUGUUGGAUUAUGUUAGAGGUUCAACAAGAACCAGUGUUACAUUAUGUGAAGGUUCGAUAAAAAUCAGUGUGAUAAAUAUGGUUUGGAGGUUUGGAUGAAAUUCAGGUUUAAUUGUUCAUCAUGCAUAAUAUAUAUUAGAGUAGGUGUCGUCUAGCAAGAGUGUGUAGUACGACGUAGCUCGCAUGUGAUCCUAGGCAUUACAUGUUUAUGGACGUCUAGGAGAGUGUUAUAGUAUGGGCAUAACUCGUAUGUAAUCCUAGAAGUAGAGUUUAACAAAGAGUGUUGUAGUGGAUACAUAACUCACAUGGAUUUUGUAGCAGUAAAUUCAAGACCAUCAAGCUAUGGAUAAGCUUAACGUCAAUAAAACCAGAGUCGCCACCGCACUUUAAUUGUUUCCAAAGGAAAAGGGAAAAGCACGAACAAAACCCAAAGAUAAGAAGUUUUCAAAUCAAAACUAAUAAAACGUCAGAGAUCACGGGUAAGGGGGUUGGUUACACAGAGGGAAGGUGUUAGCACCCAAAGUAUCCUAGGUACUUCUAGGGAGCCUUUUUUUAUGUGUGCAUAUGUGUUUGGUAUAAAAGAUGUUUGGAAAACUAGAAUGUGAGGAUGAGUAAAGAAUUCAUUGAUUAUAUUUUUUGUGUUUGACAAGACCUUCGGUCUUGUGCCUACGUACUAACAUAAAAAUGAGGGAUAAAAACCUUGUAGUUCGUGGUAAAAAUUUAAAAGAAGUUGGUGAAUUACUUUUAAUAAAAGUUUAAUAAGAAAAGGCACAAAGGGCCAAAAAUUUGAAUGAAGUUGUUAGCUAUUUUUGUCUUUCUGAAAUGUUAAGUCAAUAUGAUUAAGUUUAUUUACAAAUUUGAUUUAAGAAAAGAAUUUGAUAAUUCAUUAGCAUAAGGUCAAAGUUUCUAAUCAUUAAAACAUGUCUAAGUUUUAAAUCACAAGAAAAGUAAGUAUUUGAAAAGGGGAAGAGAUUUUGAAAUUUAAGAAGUGGGAGGAGAUGAAGAGGCUAUCAUAAGCACAAAUUUAAAAGUUAAGAGUUGAAAAGAUCUAACCAAUGGGAUGCAAUCCAACAGACAAGAAUGUCAUAUAGAACCCCAUUUUCCCUUGGACUUUGAAUCAAGCAAUAAUCAAUAAGCAAUUAACACUAUCCUAACAUCAUGGAGAUCAAGGCAUCAAAUAAAGAUAGCCACAUCCAAGCAAGAAAUUCUCAUAGCUAGCAGUCUUCUUUGUCUUCCCAUGUAUCAGAUGAAAUAUUCCUUGAUCAACUCAGAGCAAAGCAUCAGACACAAGAUUAAAAUAACAAUUAAGCACAAAGGAAAAGUGGCAGAUAAAUUCAAACAAAUCCCAAGGCUUGCAUCAGAUGAAGGCUUAGCUCACAAUACUUCAGUCUCAUAAUGUUGGCAUUGGUCAAGUCCUUUUGCAUAGGGAAUGUUGCCUAAAUCCAAGUCCAAGAGUGCAUAUCAAGAUCAAUAGUCCACAAGAUGUUUUUUAGGGUUUUUGUUGUUAUUAGGUGUUUUAAGGUCCUAAGACCACAAACAAAACAAAAAUACACAAACAAAAUAUACAAUCACAAGAUAUGGCUCAAAUGAGCAAAGUGAAAAUGACAUAAACAUAAACAAGUUAAAUGAAAUGUAAACGGAAAUAAAUGAUAAAUGACUGAAAUUUAAAUUGCAUAAAGUAAAUGACUUAAAAGUAAAGCAAAUAUUAACAAGAAUUAGUCAAAUGUUAGUCCAAAGCCAGUCAAGUGUUAGUGGUGAUUUUUAAUUCUUUAAGUCAUUCUUUGGAGAACACUCAACCAUUCAUUCAUAAGUAUGAAUCCUUAAACCAAUACAUCUUCCCUGAGAAGGGAUCCAACUUGGAUAAUUCAACAAGUAUGCCACUAGCUCCCAUGAAAGGAAAAUGAUGUCACAUUACCAUGCAUAAAGGAAAUGAAUGUUAACCAUAAAUCUUACCAAAUGGAACCUUGUGAAGAACAUGUGCGCAAGUCCCUCAAUUCUUGGCUAAAUGAGAUGAUCCUGGACUUUAUGGAAAUCUGAGAUUAAGGGGAACACCUUUCAUGUUGAGCACUUUUCCAUUUGAAGCUUGGAUCAUGAUGAAUUUUAAGGUGGAAGUUUGGAAAAUCAAACAUAAAUGAAAUUUUUCUAAGUACCAAGUCAAAUGUUCACUUCUUCCACCUUGAAUAACUUUUAUUAUGGGCUUCAAAGUUGUAUCUCUUUCAAACUUAUUCAAUUUGGUCACAAAUUUGAUCUCAUUUGGAAUUGGCAUGAAGGAGUUAUACAUUUUAGAAGUUGAGGAAAAUCUCUUGUUUAAUGGUAAUGGCCCAAAGUGACCUAUAAUGUUUCCUCUUGGAACAUGCAUUUUCAAGUUGAAUUUGAACUUUUUAAAAGAAUAAAAGUUGGAGAGGACAUAUUGAAAUUUAUCAUGAAACUUGGAUGGCCUUCAUCUAAUAAAAAUUGAGCAAGUAUUGGUCCUUGGAAGUUGACCUCCUAACUAGGGUUUAGACAAAAUGACCUAUAAUCUUUCAUCAUAUAAAAUGACUUUCCAAGCAAAACUAGAUAUUGAAUUAAACAUGAAAGUUGUUUGGGAUGUCAUAAAUUGUAAAAGAUAGGGUCUAGUGAACCCCAGUUUUGACCAGUUGACUUUCUCUAGUCAACCACCAUGAACCAACUUGCAAACUUGAAGUUCUCUUGAUCUCUUGGAAUCAUGGAGGAUAAUAUAUGUAUAAUAUGAUUUAAUGUGAAGUAUACUUUGAAAUAUUUGAUCAAAUGUUGAAGAAACUUGCUGAGGAAGUCACACAAGAUACCCAGAUGAAUUAAAGCUUCCAAGGCAAACAAGCUUCAAACUCGUGAUGAAUUCUUGAUUAAAAUGAUAAAUGGAGAACAUGGGGACCCAUAUAUGAUGUCUAGAGUCAAUGUGAACCAUCACUUGAUUUAUCUCCUUGCAUUGAGAGUCUCAAAUCCUAGAUAUGAGCUUGAUGAGGCCUUGGUGGAUGCACACACUACCUACAAAAGAAGUAAAACUAUACAUAGACAUAUUUUUGGUAUCUUGGUUAGUAAACAAAGAAAAAUAAAGUAUGAUACAACCAAAUGUGCUUGGUGACCUCUCCCAAUGCAAACCCAAUGAAUGAGGGGUAAGGAGGAUGCCAGGGUGUGAUCCCAAAUCCAAUGCAUAUGAUUAGGGAUCUUAGGGUCAAAAUUAGGGUCUUACAGCUGCCCUUAUUUAAGGACAUUCUAGCCGAGAAUGUGAAGGUUAAAAUCUUUGUAUCGACUUAGUAGAAUGGACUUAAAUAACAAUAUAUAGAAACAAAUUUUGGUCCCUAAGAGACCUCAUGAUGCAUAUGAUAUGAAUGUUAAAAUAACCCUUGUGGGUAAUAUAUUGCCACAAAGAAAAAGAAUCCGAAGAGACUGAAAGUCCACAGGAGUAUACUGCAUUCCGUAAGGAACACUCACUGGGGAGACAUAGACUCUGGGGGGAUAAAAGCUAUGCGUAGGCCAGGCUAUGACUUGAGAACUGCUGGAGAUACAAAGGGAUUUCCAUGAAAAUAAAUCAAUGGAAGGACUCGGCUUGGGGAACCAGGAAAAUCUGCAGGGGAAACGGGUAGAUCAGGACAAAGUUGAAAUACUCGAAUCAAACAGGAAAAGGCGAUUCCACUAAGGAAAUACGCAUUCAAACUCAACUAGGGAAGAAUGAACUUCAACAUAGGAGUACCAGAGAUAUAUUAUCUAUUACCGAUUACUGGGUAGGAAGAUAAUAUACUCUAACUGAGGGACAUCCGUUACCGAUUAAGGUAAACAUAUCAAGGAUGACUCGCUGAGGAAAAAAAAGUGUAUUCAUUACCGGUUAUUGGGUAAGAAUAACCUACUUGGAAAAAGAUCAAAUAGGAUUUACAAUUGCCAGUUACCAGGCAGAAGACCAAAGAGAGAGUAUAUGUCACUAGUUAAAGUGAACAUAUCGAGGAUAAACUCAAAGGAAGAAUAUUCGUCAUCGAUUAGGAUGAACAUAUCAAGGAUAGACCACCAUGGGAAAGAUGAAGAAUAUCUGUUACCGGUUAGGGUAAACAUAUCAAGGAUGAAUUGUCGGGGAGAAAUAGGAAUUAUAUCUAUCGGUUACUAGAUAGAAUACCAAAGAGAGAAUAUUCGUCACCGGUUAGGAUGAACAUAUCAAGGAUAAACUCAGCAGGGGGAAGUAGGAAUUACAACUACCGGUUACUGGGUAGAAUACUGAAGAGGGGAGAAAAUCCUUCACUGGUUAAAGUGAACAUAUCAAAGAUAGACUCUCUAGGGAAUGAAAUAGGGAUUACAACUACCUUUUUACUGGGUAGAAAACCAAAGAAGGAAGAAUAUCCGUCAUCAGUUAGGAUGAACAUAUCAAGGAUAAACCACCUGGGGAAACAUGGGAACGAAUCCGCCGGGGAAAACAAAGGAAGUAGAUUACAUUUUACCGGGUAUUGGGCAAAAUGUGCUGAACAAUCGAGAAGGAUAUUACCGGUUAUUGGGUAAUAAACUCUUAGGGGACCAAAAUAUCUAUCUAGGUAAUAACUAGAAAGAAACGGCCAAUCAAAGACUCAACCCAAUGAGGAUAUAACUCAAGGAGACUAGUUCCAUCCAGAUAAUUACCUGGGGAGGAAACUGAAAUACUAAUCAUCCAUGAGGAAAUAACUCAGUGGGGAAUGAGAAAGGUUAAACUCUUUCUGCUUAAGGGGAUGACACUCUAAAAUUGAAGGAGGACAGACACAUCAAAUCUGCAUGGGGAGAUAAAAUCACCAAGGCAGGAGAUCAGAAGAAAAAUCAAUGCGAUAAAAUGCUCAAUAAAAUAUCUGAUGUUAUAUGAAUAUACAUGUAUGUGAUUAUGAUUAUGCUGACAAAAUAGCAUAAAUGAUACAAAUAACGAAGAUUUGAAUUAUCACUACAAUACUCGGCUAAUCUCAACAGGAUGAAAACACCAAAUGGAGAAGAUGCUAAGGAUGAAAAUAAAUCAUUUAACUUUGAAUAAAUCAACUCUGGUUGGGGAAAGGCAUGGAGAACAUGCUUCCAAUUUGCUACAGAAAACUCUGUGGGGAGAAGAGAAUAUUAUUGAGGGAAGAUCAACCAAUCAUACCGAGGGUCAAAAAUAUAAACACUGCGGGGAAUUUUAGGUCAACAUCAUAUCAAAUGGGAGACAACCUUGUAGGGGACUAAAAUACACUGCUCAGAAUCCAACACUGCCGGGAAUAAAGGAUCUUCAUAUCACCAGAUGAACUCCGCCAAGGAAUACAAGACAUAAAAAUCUGCAUGAGGAGUUAGGCAAGUUGUCGGGGACGCUAUGACCAAGACCGUCAUAUUCCUCAAUAAUCAUUGAAUUCUUCUCGAAAAUUGUGAAAUAAACCAAUUCCAAGGAAAAGAUAAACGGGUCUAAUUCACACAAAUGAGAAACUGUCGAAGUUAUGCCACACAAUUAUGCUAGUGGGAAAUCAAAUAAGGGUUCCAGAUCUCCAGAGUCUAAUCAAAGAUCACAAAUAGGGGGAUGCAAACAUGAACACCUCAACUGGGGAAUAUGGAUUUGCAAAUGGAAAUGAUCGUCAACUCAACUACUGGGGAUGAUGAAAUAUUCAGGGAGAAACGCAUCAACCAAGCCGGGGAGAAAUGACGAAUUGUUGGCGAAAAAGGUAUUUAUUAAACCAACUACUUAAGGAACACCAAUAAUGCUCCACACUUCAAGACUUACCUGUUCUCAGAUUGCUGUUGACAUUCCUUACUGAAAUCGAUUAGUCUUAUAGUGAUUGUUUUCAUUAUUUAAGAAAAAAAUUAUUAUUAAUUUAUUUUAAAACUAUCAUCAUAAAAAUUCAAUUUUAUUUAGCAGAAGUAAAUAAGAAUAGAAACAAUUGGAUAAAAGCUCAAUUUUAUUUAAUAGAAUGGUAGUCUGUAAGUGAUGAGACUCCAUAGAUAUUUACAAAGUUAAAAAUGGUAAUUUACAUGGAAAAGGGCUACAUUGAAUACAAUGAUAACUACUUUCCCUACUAACUUCAAUAUCCAUUGUGCUUGUCCUUGGUUGAGAAUGAUAAAUCAGAAACAAAUGACUUGCUCAAAACUGCCUCCCAGGAUUAGGAUCAACCGAAUGCAGUUACUUGCCAUAAUCCCUAACUUUUACCUAGAUUGCCCCAAGGUGGGAUGUUCAAUCUACCGGGAUAAAUUUUCUAUUUUAUGUCUCUAAUUUUUUCCUGGAUCUCCCUUUCAGGUUUCCAAUCCACCGAGACGCUCAUUUUUUACCUAACUCGCCCUUUCGGGUUUUCAACUUAGCGAGCGAUACUUUUUUUCUUUUUUAGGCGAAGUAUUUCUUGACUACAUCGGAGUUCACAAGGAGAGUGAACUCUUCACCAUCCAUAGUUGUAAGAAUCAAAGCACCACCUGAAAAGGCUCUUUUAACAACAUAUGGACCUUCAUAAUUAGGAGUCCAUUUGCCCCUAGCAUCAGGUUUGAAAGAUAAAAUCUUUUUGAGCACGGGGUCACCUUCUCUAAACACACGAGUCUUGACCUUUUUAGCAAAUGCUUUCUUCAUUCUUUGCUGAUACAAUUGACCAUGACACAUGGCAGUCAAUCUCUUCUCUUCAAUCAAAUUCAACUGAUCAUAUCUGGUUUGGCACCAUUCAGCUUCAGUCAACUUGGCUUCCAUUAGCACACCCAGUUACGGGAUCUCAACCUCUACUAGGAGCACAACUUCCAUGCCAUAAACAAGAUAGAAAGGGUUUGCCCCUGUUGAAGUGCGGAUGGAUGUACGGUACCCAUGUAAAGCAAACAGGAGCAUCUCAUGUCAAUCUUUAUACAUCACAACCAUCUUCUGGAUGAUCUUCUUGAUGUUCUUAUUCGCAACUUCAACAACCCCAUUCAUAUUGGGUCUGUAGGCAGAAGAGUUAUGAUGUGCAAUCUUGAAGUCUUUGCAAAGAGAUUCCGCCAUAUUGUUGUUCAAGUUCGAUCCAUUAUCAGUAAUGAUCUUACUUGGCACACCAUAACGACAUAUAAUCUGAUUCUUGAUAAACCUUACAACAACUUGCUUGAUUACAUUUGCGUAUGAUGCCGCUUCAACCCACUUUGGGAAGUAGUCAAUAGCCACCAUAAUGAAACGAUGUUUGUUGGAAGAUUUGGGCUCAAUCAUACUAAUCAUAUCAAUUCCCCACAUGGAGAAUGGCCAUGGAGAGGAAAUGAAAUUGAACAGUGUCGAAGGAACAUGAAUCUUAUCUGCAUAGAUUUGACACUUGUGGCAUUUCUUCACAAACUUGCAACAGUCAGAUUCCAUUGUCAGCCAAUAGUAACCUGCUCUCAACAUUUUCUUUGACAUAGCAUGUCCAUUGGAAUGAGUACCAAAGGAAACUUCAUGGACUUCUAUAAUCAAUAAGUCUGCUUCGUGUCUAUCCACGUAUCUGAGCAAAACUAUAUCAAAGUUUCUUUUAUAAAGCACAUCACCAUUGAGGUAGAAGUUUCCAGCUAAUCUUCUUAAAGUCUUCUUAUCUUUCAAAGAUGCCUCAGACGUGUAAAUCUGACUUUGGAGGAAACAUUUGAUAUCAAAAUACCAUGGCUUUUCAUCUUUGGAUUCUUCAAUAGCAAAUACAUGAGAUCGCCUAUCAAGAAGCAUCAUAGUUAAAUUGGGAACUUCAUUCCAAAAUUUCACCAUAAUCAUUGAAGCCAACGUUGCAAGAGCAUCUGCCAUCCGGUUCUCAUCUCAAGGGAUAUGAUGAAACUCAACCUUUGGAAAGAAAGUUGAAAUCCUCCUCGCAUAGUCUCUAUAUGGUAUCAAAUCGGGUUGAUUCGUCUCCCAUUCACCUUUGAUCUGAUUCACAAUCAAAGCUGAAUCUCUAUAGACGUCAAGAUAUUUUAUUUUGAGAUCAAUGGCCUCUUCAAGCCCCAUAAUGCAAGCUUCAUACUCCGCCAUAUUGUUUGUACAUUUGAAAGUUAAUCUAGCUGUAAAUGGGAAAUAAUUGCCUUGAGGAGUAAUAAUCACUGCCCCAAUGCCAUUACCAUAUAAAUUAACAGCUCCAUCAAAUACCAUGUCCCAACGAGAACCAGGUUUUAGCCCUUCUUCAAGCAAAGGUUCAUCAUAAUCUUUCAUCUUUAAGUAUAAAAUCUCUUCGUCGGGAAAAUCAUAUUGUACUGACUGAUAAUCUUCAAUCGGUUGGUGAGCCAAAUGGUCAGCCAAGACACUACCUUUGAUUGCUAUUUGAGAUUGGUAUUCAAUAUCAUACUCAGAUAACAACAUCUGUCAACGGGCGAUCCUCCCAGUUAAAGCAGGCUUCUAAAAAAUAUACUUGAUUGGAUCCAUUUUGGAUAUCAACCAAGUGGUAUGAUUCAACAUAUAUUGGUGCAGACGCUUAGCAGUCCAAGCCAAUGUGCAACAUGUCUUUUCGAGCAUAGAAUACCGAGUCUCACAGUCGGUGAAUUUCUUACUUAGGUAGUAAAUUGCAUACUCUUUCUUUCCAGAUUCAUCUUGCUGACCAAGAACACAACUCAUACUCUCUUCAAGCACAAUCAAAUACAUGAUCAAGGGUCUUCCUUCAAUAGGCGGAGACGGAAUCAGAGGCUCGAGAAGAUAUUUUUUGAUACUAUCAAAAGAUUUCUGACAAUCUUCGGUCUAAUCACAAGACUGAUCUUUCCGAGGAAGCUUGAAUAUAGGCGCACAUGUGGCAAUCAUAUGUGAUAUAAAUCUUGAGAUAUAAUUUAAGCAGCCGAGAAAACCUAUGACUUGUUUCUCAGUUUUGGGCGAGGCAUUUCUUGUAUUGCUUUGACCUUGGCAGGAUCAACUUCAAUACCCUUCUCACUGACAAUAAAGCCCAUCAACUUACUAGAACGAACACCUAAAGUACACUUAUUGGGAUUCAAGCGGAGUUUAUAUUUCCUCAAAUGCUGGAAUAGCUUCAACAAAUGCUCAACAUGUUCUUCUUCAUCACUCAAUUUAGAAAUCAUAUCAUCAACAUAGACUUCAAUCUCUUUAUGCAUCAUAUCAUGAAAAAGAGUGGUCAUAGCUCUCUGGUAUGUUGCAUCAGCAUUCUUUAAACCGAAAGGCAUCACUCUAUAAAAUAAUUUUCCCCAGAGAGUAAUGAAUAUGGUCUUCUCCAUAUCUUCAGGUGCCAUCUUGAUUUGAUUAUGACCGAAAAAUUCGUCCAUAAACGAAAAGACUUUGAAUUUAGUUGUAUUGUCUACCAACAUAUAAAUGUGUGGCAGGGGAAAUCAUCUUUCAGACUUGCUUUAUUCAAAUCUCUAUAAUCAACACACAUGAAAACUUUUCCAUCUUUCUUAUGAAUAGGCACACAAUUGGCCACCCACUGCGGAUACUCGGAGGUAACAAGAAAACUGACAUCAAUUUGCUUCUGCACUUCCUCUUUGAUCUUUACUGCCAUAUCAGGAUGAGUUCUUCUCAACUUCUGCUUGACCGGCGGGCAUUCUGGCUUCAACGGCAAUCUACAUUCCACAAUCUCAAAAUCUAAACCAGGCAUGUCUUGAUAGGACCAAGCAAACACAUCAAAAUAAUCUCGAAGAAGACCAAUCAACUCCUUCUUAGCUUCUGGACACAUUUGAGACCCAAUCUUGACUUCCAUCACAUCAUCCUCGGAACCCAAGUUGAUUAAUUCAAUCUGCUCUUCAAACGGCUAAAUGUCUUUUUCCUCAUGCUCAAGCAAACAGGAUAAUUCAUCAGAUACUUCUUCAUUAUAAAUCUCUUCCUCAGCUUCAAACACAGGGAAAUCAAAGUUUGGAGAGGGAGUAGUGUAAGACCCUAAUUUUGACCCUAAGAUCCCUCAUGGCAUCAUAUCAUUUGCUCAGUGCAUUGCCUCAAGGAUCAUAGCAUGUUUAGCUCCUUAACCCUAGGGUUGGGACUUGUGUGAGUGGUUUGAGACCACCAAGCAUGCUUGUAUUGUAUAUUAUUACUUUUCUUAUUUUGAUUACUAACCAUAAGCACAAAAGUAUGUCACUAACUCUUUUUGUUUUGAAGCUCAAGUGAUCAUGUGCUCCAAUGCUCCUAGGAGGCUCCUAAGCUCAAUGAAGUGGCUAGAUGAAGAUGAGAAUAAGCAUGACAAUGGUCCACAAGCUCUAUCAUCAUAUAUGUCUCCCAAGUAUCUCUAUUUGCCAAUUUGAUCAAGAUAACCCAAAGGGCUUGAGGAUUGUUUCCCAAAGAAACUCUAAUUCAAACUGUGCUUUGACUGUGCCUUGCUUAUGAAGCCUUCCUCACAUGGUGGAUUGUUGGUUUAGGUUGAGUUUUCUCCCUUUGAUAACAAAAGACCUUAAGGCUUUUGGUCAAUCAAUUCACCAAUCUUUUGAGAUUUUUACCCCGAACUACGAGGUUUUGAUCCUACCUUUGUGAUGGUACGUAGGCAAUGGGUUCAUCCAUUCAAACAACAAAAAUCUGUAAAUAUAAUCUAUAUUAUUUUCUCAUCCCCUCCAAUCUUUUGCACAUAUUUUCAAAAAUACCAACCUACAACGCAUAUUUGCAAAAAGGAUUCCCUUAGAGUACUAAGGAUGUUUUGGGUGCGUAAAACCUUCCCAUUUCAUAACCAACCCCCUUACCCAGAUCUCUGACAUUUUUAUUAGUUUUUGAUUUGAUAAAACUUCUUACUUGGCUUUUGUUCGCUUUUUUUUAGCCUUUCCUUUGGACAAAUAAAAGUGCGGUGGCGACUCGAAUUGUAUGUUUACUUUUGGUUUAGUCAAUAAACCUAAAGGUAACGAAAACCCCGCUACAGAAAAGUGGCGACUCUGCUGGGGACUCUUUCUCUAGUAGGUUUAGCCUACUUUUUGCUUAUGUGUGUUGUAUAUUGAUGACAUAUUUUUGUGCAAAUUUGGGAUGACUGUAUUGUUUGUAUUGUAUGAAUUGCUUGAUAUAUUAAUUGCUUGUAUGCUUGGUGGUUUCUUGUGAGAUGAGUUCUAUACCCGAACUCGAGUGCACUUAUGAUAGGAGAAUGACAUGGUCUUGUUGACUUGUGUGGAGUUAUUCCUUAGCAAGUUGACUUGCAAGCCCAUUCACAUGGUGGAGGUCUUCUUGGGAUCAAUAAUGUCACACGAGUAGUCGUGGUUAGGCAUUACUCUUUCCAAUAUAAACCUUAGAAGCCAAGGACCUUAGAUACCUAGCCCAUCUUGGCCUAUUUUAGGAAGUAGUGCGAAGGUCGUUUGUCACACGAGUAGUCGUGGUUAGGCAUUACUCUUUCCAAUAUAAACCUUAGAAGCCAAGGACCUUAGAUACCUAGCCCAUCUUGGCCUAUUUUAGGAAGUAGUGCGAAGGUCGUUCAAGUGUAAGACUUGAGGCGAUUGUUACGCGAUACUACACUCAUAAGAGUCCCUCUUGAGAAUAUUUUUGGAGAACGAGUAGUCGUUUUUUCCGAUAAUAUCCGAAAGAUGAGAUGAUAACUAUGGGGACCUUUUUAGAACAUGAUUGUCAGGUUUAACCAUAGUACACUCCCAUUUUGGUGGGUCUUAACCAAGACUUCAUGCUCGUGACUUACAACAAACCCGUGAUUCGCGGUUGAUCCGUUCUCAUACAUUCUCAAUAUCAAUGGAACUUGGGUGUUGAUAAGGUGUAAACCAUAAUCCACCAAAAUGGAUGAUUGAUAUUGACAAUGACUUGAGUUAUCCCGUGACCUUUGUGUGGUGUGACUUGCUUGAUCCUUGAGUGUGAUUGUUGCAUCCAUGCGUUCAUGCAUUCAUUUGCAUCCAUAUCAGCAACAAUAAAGAAUUUUCAAGGAACUUAAGAGGUUUAUUUGCAAAUUUUUAGACAUGGAUAAGCAAAGAAGGAAUACGAAGAAGUACAGUUUCAGACAACCCGACUUGAAAGAGUUAAGGAGUUUGACAUCUUAUGUAUUAGAUCCCUUGGAGUUCAAAGCUUUAUUUGCAAAUUUUUAGACAUGGAUAAGCAAAGAAGGAAUACGAAGAAGUACAGUUUCAGACAACCCGACUUGAAAGAGUUAAGGAGUUUGACAUCUUAUGUAUUAGAUCCCUUGGAGUUCAAAGCUCUCCAUAGGAAGCUUCUGUCUAUUCUUUCUACCAAGGUGGAUGAAGGUUUGAUGAGUAUGUUGGUACAGUUCUAUGAUCCUUUGUAUCGGUGCUUCACUUUUCCGGAUUUCCAGCUUUUGCCUACAGUUGAGGAGUAUGCCUAUCAUAUGGGUAUACCUAUUCUUGAUCAGUUGCCAUUCAGUGGUUUGGAGAAGGUUUCGUCUUCUCAAGAGAUUGCUGAUAUGAUUCAUAUGGAUGUAUCUGACAUUAGUGCCAAUAUGACUACCAAAGGUGGAAUUCAAGGUCUCCCAUCUGAUUUUCUCAUUGCCAAAGCUACUUUGUUUGGGAAGGCCAUGAGUAAGGAAGCUUUUGAAGCCAUAUUUGUACUACUCAUCUAUGGGCUAGUGUUAUUUCCCAACAUCGAUAAUUUUGCGGAUGUGAACGCUAUUAGGAUUUUCUCUUCUCUUAAUCAUGUUCCGGCUCUGUUGGGUGACACUUAUUUCUCUUUGCAUAUGAGGAAUACAAAGGAUGGUGGUUCCAUUGUGUGCUGUCUGCCUCUGUUGUACAAAUGGUUUAUUUCACACUUGCCUCAGACGCUUUCCUUCAAGGAGAACAAGGGAUGUCUACGGUGGUCCAUGAGACUUAUGUCUCUCACUAAUGAUGAUAUCUCUUGGUAUAGUCGUGUUUAUGAUGGCGUUCAGAUUAUUGACUCUUGUGGUGAGUUCUCCAAUGUGCCUCUUCUUGGUACAUGUGGUGGAAUUAACUAUAAUCCCGCUUUGGCUCGCCGUCAGCUUGGGUUCCCCUUAAGGGAUAAACCUAACAACAUUGUGUUGGAAGAUUUAUUCUUUCAAGAGGGUAAAGAUCCCCAAAACUUGAAGGAUAGAAUGGUCCGCGCCUGGCGCAAAGUUCAUAGGAAAGGGAGGAAU
Molecule: long non-coding RNA, 21499 nt
Filed under: Lathyrus oleraceus (garden pea)
Lineage: Eukaryota; Viridiplantae; Streptophyta; Magnoliopsida; Fabales; Fabaceae
Description: Pisum sativum (pea) long non-coding RNA (PSAT_LNC001091)
Source: RNAcentral